GUCUAGGGCCAUACGACCCUGAAGGCGCAUGAUCUCCUCUGAUCUAGGAAGUAAAGCAGCGUCCAGCCUGGUUAAUACUUGGAUGGGAGACUGCCUGGGAGUACCAGGUGCUAUGGUGA
Nannospalax galili (Upper Galilee mountains blind mole rat) is the source of this 119-nucleotide ribosomal RNA. Lineage: Eukaryota; Metazoa; Chordata; Mammalia; Rodentia; Spalacidae. The record is from Ensembl.